UGCUCAUGACUUUUCAAUAGCCGCAGACUUUUCUGUGCUAAGGUAGCAUAAUCACUUGCCUUUUAAUUCAAGGAUAGAAUGAACGGAAGUACGAAUCUUAGUUUGUUUCAACAAUUUUUGUUAAAAUUUACCUUAAAGUAAAAACUCUUUUCUAAAAAAGAAAGACGACAAGACCCUGAUGAACUUUACUUUAGUUAAGCUGGGGUGGCUCAUAUAAAAAUAUCUUAUAAACCCACACUUAAUUAUCUUAAUAAAAUUAAUCAAGUUACCACAGGGAUAACAGCAUAAUUUUAUUUUUAAGCUCAUAUUAGUAAUAAAGAUUAUGACCUCGAUGUUGAAUUAAGAAAUCUAAAAACUGUAAUAAGCCUAUAAGAAAGUCUGUUCGACUUUUAAACUCUUACA
Molecule: ribosomal RNA, 402 nt
Filed under: Harpactea damini
Lineage: Eukaryota; Metazoa; Arthropoda; Arachnida; Araneae; Dysderidae
Description: Harpactea sp. 1 MP-2020 partial large subunit ribosomal RNA
Rfam family: Archaeal large subunit ribosomal RNA
Source: RNAcentral